RNAcentral lists this ribosomal RNA (149 nucleotides) under uncultured bacterium. Its description in RNAcentral is "partial 16S ribosomal RNA". It matches the Rfam family "Bacterial small subunit ribosomal RNA", at positions 374 to 516 of the family's 1533-position model. The record is from RNAcentral.
GGCGCAGCCUGAUGCAGCCAUGCCGCGUGUAUGAAGAAGGCCUUCGGGUUGUAAAGUACUUUCAGCGGGGAGGAAGGCGAUAAGGUUAAUAACCUUGUCGAUUGACGUUACCCGCAGAAGAAGCACCGGCUAACUCCGUGCCAGCCGCG